CGGUAAUUCCAGCUCCAAUAGCGUAUACUAAAGUUGUUGCAGUUAAAAAGCUCGUAGUUGGAUUUCUGCGGGGACGGAGCGGCCGGUCGCAACUUGCGACUCGAGCUAGCGCUUUCCCCGCAUCCUGCCGCGAACCGUGCUACCAUUAGUUUGGUGGCGCUGGGGAUCGGCUCGAUUACUUUGAGAAAAAUAGAGUGUUCAAAGCAGGCCACACGCCUUGAAUAAGUUAGCAUGGAAUAAUGACUAAGGACUUCGGUUCUAUUUUGUUGGUGUUCGGGACUGAAGUAAUGAUUGAUAGGGACAGUUGGGGCGGUCUGUAUUCCAAAGCGAGAGGUGAAAUUCUUAGACCUUCGGAAGACAAACAGCUGCGAAAGCGUUCCGCAAGGAUGUUCCCUUUGAUCAAGAACGAAAGUUGGGGGAUCGAAGACGAUCAGAUACCGUCGUAGUCUCAACUAUAAACUAUACCAGCUAGGGAUCGGUCAACGUUUAAUUAUUCGACUUGAUCGGCACCUUAUGAGAAAUCAAAGCAUCUGGGUUCCGGGGGGAGUAUGGUCACAAGGCUGAAACUUAAAGGAAGUGACGGAAGGGCACACCAGCCGUGGAGCCUGUGGCUUAAUUUGACUCAACACGGGAAAACUUACCAGGUCCAGACAUAGUAAGGAUUGACAGAUUGAUAGCUCUUUCUUGAUUCUGUGGGUGGUGGUGCAUGGCCGUUCUUAGUUGGUGGAGUGAUUUGUCUGGUUAAUUCCGUUAACGAACGAGACCCCAGCCUGCUAAAUAGCGCGGCUGAGCUUUGCUCGGUGCGAGCUUCUUAGAGGGACUAUGAUGCGCGAUAGCACAUGGAAGUUUGGGGCAAUAACAGGUCUGUGAUGCCCUUAGAUGUUCUGGGCCGCACACGGGCUACACUGGCGCCUGCAACGAGCAUAUCAGCUGGCCCGAGAGGGUCUUGGCUAAUCUUUUGAACCGGCGCCGUGCUUGGGAUUGACCUUUGCAAUUGUUGGUCAUGCAACGAGGAAUGCCUUGUAAACGCGAGUCAUCAGCUCGCAUUGAAUACGUCCCUGCCCUUUGUACACACCGCCCGUCGCUCCUACCGAUGAAUGUUCCGAUGAAAUUUUCGGAGAGCGCCAGAGAACGGGGCUCUGCCUUGCAGAUCUGGAGGCUCAAAGUCACUUAAAUCUGGACAUUUCGAGGAAGGAGAAGUCGUAACAAGGUAGCCG
This 1217-nucleotide ribosomal RNA is filed under the name uncultured Rhizaria. RNAcentral's name for it is "SSU rRNA". It matches the Rfam family "Eukaryotic small subunit ribosomal RNA", at positions 577 to 1805 of the family's 1831-position model. The record is from RNAcentral.